This 253-nucleotide ribosomal RNA is filed under the name uncultured bacterium. Its description in RNAcentral is "partial 16S ribosomal RNA". It matches the Rfam family "Bacterial small subunit ribosomal RNA", at positions 524 to 776 of the family's 1533-position model. The record is from RNAcentral.
UACGGAGGAUCCAAGCGUUAUCCGGAAUUACUGGGCGUAAAGCGCACGCAGGCGGUUCGCCAAGUUUGGAGUGACAGUUGUCGGCUCAACCGACAAAGGACUUCAAAAACUGGUGAACUUGAGGACGAGAGAGGAACAUGGAACUCCAGGUGUAGUAGUGAAAUGCGUAGAUAUCUGGAAGAACACCAAUGGCGAAGGCAAUGUUCUGGCUCGUUUCUGACGCUCAGGUGCGAAAGCCAGGGGAGCGAACGGG